AUUUAAAGAUUCCAUCGUCUCCCACAUGGCCUGAGGAUCUUUGUAAAUGGACAGAAAACCCUUAAAAUCAUUCACACAGUACUCUUCUUACAUCACACUAGUGCACGAGGCUGUGGCUCCACAAGGACAACUAAACACUUGAAAAAGAAGAGGAUUAACAUCAGUGAGACUGGAAAACCAAGAGGAACUUAAUGAUUAAAUCAAUAUCACUGUUUGAUCUUGGCCUCCCAUCAGCACGUACCUGCCAGUUGACCCCAUGGCAAUCACGAGGACAGCAUUUACUUUUGCUCUCACACCCAUAAAGCAUAGUCGUCGUCACACACGGACUGAGAGAACCAACAAGAGAAAUUCAAAGAUGCACCCCUAACUAAUCCCAGAAGAUGCCUCACUCCUAUGUAGCCCACCUGCAGUGUUUCCAUCCCGACAGCCUCUAAUCAGUGUGUACCUGAGGCCAUUCCUUCUUCCACUGGAAAGCUCUGCCCCCUCUCUUCGAGCUGCUGCCAAACACGAGUGAUGGUGGCCGACCCCCUUUGCAAGGGAAAGUUCUGAAUAAAGAACCUCUUCUUGUUCUCAUUUGAGUGCGCUUCACUUAUUUCCAUAGUUCUCAUG
Long non-coding RNA from Panthera uncia (snow leopard), 609 nucleotides. RefSeq lists it as uncharacterized. The record is from RefSeq and is a predicted model, not a curated record. The transcript is spliced from 3 exons. NCBI's taxonomy places the organism in Eukaryota, Metazoa, Chordata, Mammalia, Carnivora, Felidae.